Molecule: ribosomal RNA, 487 nt
Filed under: uncultured bacterium
Lineage: Bacteria
Description: partial 16S ribosomal RNA
Rfam family: Bacterial small subunit ribosomal RNA
Source: RNAcentral
GAUGAACGCUAGCGAUAGGCUUAACACAUGCAAGUCGAGGGGCAGCACAAUGUAGCUUGCUUUCUGGGUGGCGACCGUCGCACGGGUGCGUAACGCGUAUGCAACUUUCCCUAUACAGGAGGAUAACCCGUCGAAAGACGGACUAAUUCUCCGUAUGCUCACACCUUUGCAUCCAGUGGUUAUUCAAGCCAUUCGGUAUAUGAUAGGCCUGCGUCCCAUUAGCUUGUUGGUGAGGUAACGGCUCACCAAGGCAACGAUGGGUAGGGGAACUGAGAGGUUUAUCCCCCACACUGGUACUGAGACACGGACCAGACUCCUACGGGAGGCAGCAGUGAGGAAUAUUGGUCAAGGGGCGCGAGCCUGAACCAGCCAAGUCGCGUGAAGGAUGACUGUCUUAUGGAUUGUAAACUUCUUUUAUACGGGAAUAACAAGAGUCACGUGUGACUACCUGAAUGUACCGUAUGAAUAAGCAUCGGCUAACUCCGUG